GGUUAAGUGACUAAGCGUACACGGUGGAUGCCUGGGCAGUCAGAGGCGAUGAAGGACGUACUAACUUGCGAUAAGCGCAGAUAAGGCAGUAAGAGCCGUUUGAGUCUGCGAUUUCCGAAUGGGGAAACCCAACUGCAUAAGCAGUUACUGUUAACUGAAUACAUAGGUUAACAGAGCAAACCGGGGGAACUGAAACAUCUAAGUACCCCGAGGAGAAGAAAUCAACCGAGAUUCCGGUAGUAGCGGCGAGCGAACCUGGAUUAGCCCUUAAGCACUCGGUGAAGUAGGUGAACAAGCUGGAAAGCUUGGCGAUACAGGGUGAUAGCCCCGUAACCGACGCUUCAUCGAGCGUGAAAUCGAGUAGGGCGGGACACGUGAUAUCCUGUCUGAAUAUGGGGGGACCAUCCUCCAAGGCUAAAUACUCCUGACUGACCGAUAGUGAACCAGUACCGUGAGGGAAAGGCGAAAAGAACCCCUGUGAGGGGAGUGAAAUAGAACCUGAAACCGUGUACGUACAAGCAGUAGGAGCACCUUCGUGGUGUGACUGCGUACCUUUUGUAUAAUGGGUCAGCGACUUAUAUUCAGUGGCAAGGUUAACCGUAUAGGGGAGCCGUAGCGAAAGCGAGUCUUAACUGGGCGCUCAGUCUCUGGAUAUAGACCCGAAACCGGGUGAUCUAGCCAUGGGCAGGUUGAAGGUUGAGUAACAUCAACUGGAGGACCGAACCGACUAAUGUUGAAAAAUUAGCGGAUGACUUGUGGCUAGGGGUGAAAGGCCAAUCAAACUCGGAGAUAGCUGGUUCUCCCCGAAAGCUAUUUAGGUAGCGCCUCGGACGAAUACUACUGGGGGUAGAGCACUGUUAAGGCUAGGGGGUCAUCCCGACUUACCAACCCUUUGCAAACUCCGAAUACCAGUAAGUACUAUCCGGGAGACACACGGCGGGUGCUAACGUCCGUCGUGGAGAGGGAAACAACCCAGACCGCCAGCUAAGGUCCCAAAGUAUUGCUAAGUGGGAAACGAUGUGGGAAGGCUCAGACAGCUAGGAUGUUGGCUUAGAAGCAGCCAUCAUUUAAAGAAAGCGUAAUAGCUCACUAGUCGAGUCGGCCUGCGCGGAAGAUGUAACGGGGCUAAGCAAUACACCGAAGCUGCGGCAAUGUCUUUUAGACAUUGGGUAGGGGAGCGUUCUGUAAGCCGUUGAAGGUGAAUCGUAAGGUUUGCUGGAGGUAUCAGAAGUGCGAAUGCUGACAUGAGUAACGACAAAGGGGGUGAAAAACCUCCUCGCCGGAAGACCAAGGGUUCCUGUCCAACGUUAAUCGGGGCAGGGUGAGUCGACCCCUAAGGUGAGGCCGAAAGGCGUAAUCGAUGGGAAACGGGUUAAUAUUCCCGUACUUCUGACUAUUGCGAUGGGGGGACGGAGAAGGCUAGGUGGGCCAGGCGACGGUUGUCCUGGUUCAAGUGCGUAGGCUUGAGAGUUAGGUAAAUCCGGCUCUCUCUAAGGCUGAGACACGACGUCGAGCUACUACGGUAGUGAAGUCAUUGAUGCCAUGCUUCCAGGAAAAGCCUCUAAGCUUCAGAUAGUCAGGAAUCGUACCCCAAACCGACACAGGUGGUCGGGUAGAGAAUACCAAGGCGCUUGAGAGAACUCGGGUGAAGGAACUAGGCAAAAUGGUACCGUAACUUCGGGAGAAGGUACGCUCUUGAUGGUGAAGUCCCUCGCGGAUGGAGCUGACGAGAGUCGCAGAUACCAGGUGGCUGCAACUGUUUAUUAAAAACACAGCACUGUGCAAAAUCGCAAGAUGACGUAUACGGUGUGACGCCUGCCCGGUGCCGAAGGUUAAUUGAUGGGGUUAGCGCAAGCGAAGCUCUUGAUCGAAGCCCCGGUAAACGGCGGCCGUAACUAUAACGGUUAAGGUAGCGAAAUUCCUUGUCGGUAAGUUCCGACCUGCACGAAUGGCGUAAUGAUGGCCACGCUGUCUCCACCCGAGACUCAGUGAAAUUGAAAUCGCUGUGAAGAUGCAGUGUACCCGCGGCUAGACGGAAAGACCCCGUGAACCUUUACUACAGCUUGGCACUGAACAUUGAACCUACAUGUGUAGGAUAGGUGGGAGGCUAUGAAGACGUGACGCCAGUUGCGUUGGAGCCGUCCUUGAAAUACCACCCUUGUAUGUUUGAUGUUCUAACUUAGACCCCGGGUUGAGGACAGUGCCUGGUGGGUAGUUUGACUGGGGCGGUCUCCUCCCAAAGAGUAACGGAGGAGCACAAAGGUGGGCUAAUCACGGUUGGACAUCGUGAGGUUAGUGCAAUGGCAUAAGCCCGCUUAACUGCGAGAAUGACGGUUCGAGCAGGUGCGAAAGCAGGUCAUAGUGAUCCGGUGGUUCUGUAUGGAAGGGCCAUCGCUCAACGGAUAAAAGGUACUCCGGGGAUAACAGGCUGAUACCGCCCAAGAGUUCAUAUCGACGGCGGUGUUUGGCACCUCGAUGUCGGCUCAUCACAUCCUGGGGCUGAAGUCGGUCCCAAGGGUAUGGCUGUUCGCCAUUUAAAGUGGUACGCGAGCUGGGUUUAGAACGUCGUGAGACAGUUCGGUCCCUAUCUGCCGUGGGCGUUGGAAGAUUGAAGGGGGCUGCUCCUAGUACGAGAGGACCGGAGUGGACGAACCUCUGGUGUUCGGGUUGUGUCGCCAGACGCAUUGCCCGGUAGCUAAGUUCGGAAUUGAUAAGCGCUGAAAGCAUCUAAGCGCGAAGCGAGCCCUGAGAUGAGUCUUCCCUGACAGUUUAACUGUCCUAAAGGGUUGUUCGAGACUAGAACGUUGAUAGGCAGGGUGUGUAAGCGUUGUGAGGCGUUGAGCUAACCUGUACUAAUUGCCCGUGAGGCUUAACCAU
RNAcentral lists this ribosomal RNA (2877 nucleotides) under Vibrio cholerae LMA3984-4. RNAcentral's name for it is "LSU rRNA". It matches the Rfam family "Bacterial large subunit ribosomal RNA". Lineage: Bacteria; Pseudomonadati; Pseudomonadota; Gammaproteobacteria; Vibrionales; Vibrionaceae. The record is from RNAcentral.